CCUACGGGAGGCAGCAGUCGAGAAUCAUUCGCAAUGGGCGAAAGCCUGACGAUGCGACGCCGCGUGAACGAAGAAGGCCCUCGGGUUGUAAAGUUCUUUCGCUUGGGAACAAGGGAUGUCGAUUAAUACUCGGCAGACUUGAGCGUACCAGGUAAAGAAGCACCGGCUAACUCCGUGCCAGCAGCUGCGGUAAUACGGAGGGUGCAAGCGUUAAUCGGAUUCAUUGGGCGUAAAGAGCGCGUAGGCUGAAGAGCCAGUCGGGCGUGAAAUUCCAGGGCUCAACCCUGGAGCUGCACUCGAUACUACUCUUCUAGAGGAUAGGCGGAGAAAACGGAAUUCCAUGUGUAGCGGUGAAAUGCGUAGAUAUGUGGAAGAACACCCGUGGCGAAGGCGGUUUUCUAGCUUACUCCUGACGCUGAGGCGCGAAAGCAAGGGGAGCGAACAGGAUUAGAUACCCUGGUAGUCCUUGCCGUAAACGAUGCAUACUAAGUGUAGCUGGAUUCAACCCUGGCUGUGCUGAAGCUAACGUAUUAAGUAUGCCGCCUGGGGAGUACGCUCGCAAGGGUGAAACUCAAAGGAAUUGACGGA
This 588-nucleotide ribosomal RNA is filed under the name uncultured bacterium. RNAcentral describes it as "bacterial SSU rRNA". It matches the Rfam family "Bacterial small subunit ribosomal RNA", at positions 338 to 917 of the family's 1533-position model. The record is from RNAcentral.